Molecule: small RNA, 794 nt
Filed under: Pan troglodytes (chimpanzee)
Lineage: Eukaryota; Metazoa; Chordata; Mammalia; Primates; Hominidae
Description: retained intron
Source: RNAcentral
CUUUUCUAUAAUAUGAGCAUACUGAAGCCUGCAGUCUGUUUCCGUUUAGAAUUAGAAUAGUAUUUUGAAAAUAGUCAACAAGAAAUGUAAACAUUCUUGAAAGAUACCUUCUGUGAACUAGUAAUUUCUUAACAGCUGGUUGCCUUUUUCAGUGUUUUCUUUUUUUAAGCUUGGAUAUUUUUUACUUUAAAAAUUGAUUUUACUGAAAAUUCAAUACUUCAACCUGUUAAUGAAAUGUUGUUUUAGAAUCAAAGGGAAACUUGAAGAACAGAGACCAGAAAGAGUAAAACCUUUUAUGACAGGGGCUGCAGAACAAAUCAAGCACAUCCUUGCUAAUUUCAAAAACUACCAGUUCUUUAUUGGUGAAAACAUGAAUCCAGAUGGCAUGGUUGCUCUAUUGGACUACCGUGAGGAUGGUGUGACCCCAUAUAUGAUUUUCUUUAAGGAUGGUUUAGAAAUGGAAAAAUGUUAACAAAUUUGGCAAUUAUUUUGGAUCUAUCACCUGUCAUCAUAACUGGCUUCUGCUUGUCAUCCACACAACACCAGGACUUAAGACAAAUGGGACUGAUGUCAUCUUGAGCUCUUCAUUUAUUUUGACUGUGAUUUAUUUGGAGUGGAGGCAUUGUUUUUAAGAAAAACAUGUCAUGUAGGUUGUCUAAAAAUAAAAUGCAUUUAAACUCAUUUGAGAGAAUGCCUUUUAGUUUAAUGCAUAUUUAAACUAAAUUGAUCCUGUAGUGUUCCUGGAGAAGCUAGAGCCUGAUUGUAGGCUACUACUCAUCAAUUAACUUCUACAG